CGGGUGCCUCUCGCCCUGCAGGACGUGGCUGGCCUGGUCUGCCCCCAGCUGAGCCUCACCUGAGGGAGAGCUGGGGUGGGCCGCCUCGUUUACGACCGUGUAGUCGUCUUUUGCACACAAAGCCAUGUGAGUCCGUACGUGAGUCCUGUGGAAAGACAAGACAUGGAAUAGGAGUGACGUCCGUCCCCAGGCAUGAAGUGGAGAGCAUCACGCUGUGUGAGUUAAACACUGGCCAAGCACGGUGUGAGUCGGAGCCGGGGACCUGGCCAGAUGAGGGCUGCGUGCAGCUUUCACACCCCAGGCACGUGAGCACCGCCAAGCCCAGCCUCAGCCAGCAGCUGCUCUGCAAUGUGGAGUCACCAGUGGCCCCAAGGAUGGCAGUGAGAAGUGAAAGAGAAAUGGCUGCCCCUGCACCACUUACCGCGAAGGAGGCUCAAGGCUGGGGGGCCCCUCUGCCUUCCAGUGACCGCCCGUGUCACAUCCUGACCCGCUCAGCAGAGACGGCCAGAGGCAUGGAUGCACGCUGACUCGUGGACGGCCGCUGUUUGACGAGACCAUCAAGGAGGGAGGAGCACCCGUGGAAAGGCGUGGCAGGGUGGUCGGGGCAGAGGUGUACAUCAGCCUAUCCAAUGCUCACGGCUGGAGGACGCCGCGCCCUGUGAAUGCUCACUGAGGACCAUCCCGGGCACUGGGGCUCUCCAUGUGAGAAUGGACAAUAUGCUGCCUUCCCAGCUGCCCCAUCCUUCCUGCGAGAGCUUGGGGAUGGGUGGCCACAGUGGCACUGGGGAGAACACGAGGGCUCCCCAGCAAGCGUUUUCUCUCAUGGAGGUGGCUCUGGUCACAGCGUCACUGCAGGGCGCAGCCACGGUGGCGGCCAAUGGAAACUGGGCUCUUCUUUUUCUUUUUUUUUUUGAGACAGAGUCUCGCUCUGUCACCCAGGCUGGAGUACAAUGGC
This 955-nucleotide long non-coding RNA is filed under the name Homo sapiens (human). RNAcentral's name for it is "non-protein coding lnc-SLC12A7-5:6". Lineage: Eukaryota; Metazoa; Chordata; Mammalia; Primates; Hominidae. The record is from RNAcentral.